Molecule: long non-coding RNA, 4166 nt
Organism: Falco tinnunculus (common kestrel)
Lineage: Eukaryota; Metazoa; Chordata; Aves; Falconiformes; Falconidae
Source: Ensembl
GGACCCACGGCGAGGAAGGGCAGAGGUGGGGAGCUGGUGGGAUGGGGCGAGCAGGGACACCACAAAACCGAGUGAGAAAAUAGGGGCCAUUUACUUUUCUAUAAUAAAAACUGCAUAAAGACACACCGGCAAUCCCAAACCCUCCAAAACCCACCGGACUCACGUCGCUUUUUGGCUCCCUAUGGCACACACCGCCCCAUUACCUGCCUUCACCCAGCUGCCUGGGCUGCCUCUUUCCAAGCCCUCCGCAGCAGACCUACUUUUUAAAUUUAUUUACCCCACCAAGGAGAUGAGGAACCGCACAGAAGCACUUUGGGUUUAUGGAUUUGUGCCUGUCUCUCCACUGCUACCCUCACCAGAUGAACACUGCCCAGCUGCCGGCCCAGGGAUGCUUUGCGGGCAGCUCCCAGCACGCUGCCUGCACGCACCUCUCGCUCUGCCCAGGAGGGCAAGAGCUGCCCAAAACUCAGAGAACACAGUCCUGAGACAGAAAAUCACCGUGUUCCACUCUCCAACAUCGCCUGGCACGUGAAGCCUUGGCCAGCCACUGCAAACCCAGCGCCCCCACCCUACAGCAGCGGCAUCUUCGGCAUGGGGAAAUUGAGGCACGCCUGGUGCGCAUGGGCUCUUACACUCUUGGGAAGCUGGUGGCAACGUAACCGCAGAAGUGAGCCAUCCCUGGCUGAGAAGAGGCACAGCCGUGGCCAUCUCGUACACCCAAGCGAGCCUGGGUCAAUAAAACAGGCCCCUGCCCACCUUGCUACCCCCCGCCCCACUGCCGGGCAUUGCCCCACUCCUGCCCUGCUGCUUCCUCCCCAGCAGCUUAGGAAGGGAGUCAGGUUUGUUUUGCAACAAGCUUUGCUUUUCAUUGCAAUAAACUCCGGUGCAUGCAACGGGCUGGCACUGGCAGGGCUCGUGUUGCCGGCAGCCUGGUGCAUGCCAUGGCACCACCCGCAGCGUCACUGCCAGGGCGUGUGAUGCCCCCUGAUCACCCCAACCCCUACCAUCACCAACCUCCUCCAUGCCCACGGAAGCUCAGCUCUUGGCUGCUACGUCACCUCCCAUCGCUCCCUGUUUGCACAACUCCCCUCCCCGGGGAUCAAGUCGGAGCGCGCCCGCCUGUGCCGACUCAGCUCCCGGUGCAGCAGGGACGCUGCGCUGGCUGGAGCAACCCCAGGCAAGCGAGGCAAUGCCACCGGGUUGGGGAGCACCGGCUGGUUUACCUCUGCUUUGCAAACAAGCAUGGCACAAAGGAGCUGGUCCUUGCAGAGCUCCAUCUGACCCAAAGAACAGUGCUGUCCACAAAAACCACCCACCCACCGACUGGAACAGAGGAACAGACCCUCUACAAAGUCUCUUGCAGCAAAAUGCCGCCUGCUUCCAGGAAAACUUGCCAAAACAUUUCCACUGCACCGUGGAAACCCCCUUCUCCAUCCUCACGUCUCGCAAAAAGAAAGAAAAAAACCCCCCAAAAACCAAAUUAAGGAGACAUUUCGAAACAGAGCUGAUUUCUUUUUUCCCCCCGGUUUUCCUUUCAAGGAAAAACUUUUCUCAGAAAUGACACGUUUUUGUCAAACACUUCACUUGUGACAAAUUGGCACUGUCACCGAGAAGUGCGCGCGGCUGGGAGCUUCGCGGCGCUUUGGGAAGCCUCCGUCUGCUUUUAGCGAGUUCAAAAACCGACAGAGGCGAGGCUGCAAAACGUAACGUGUGAGGCAGAGGAUUAAUUAACGUAGAUCUGGCUCCAAAACCAGAGGAGGUAAGAGUAAUUUUCAUUCAGGAACUUGGCAUCUCCUCCUCCUCCAGCGCUGCCGGAGUACUUUAAGCUCCUGAAAAUCGCACAUGCAUUGCCCAGAGUUUUUGCCGUGAUUAAUUAAAGCCUCAAUGGAGAGAAAAAUCCACAGGGAUUUAACAAAUUUUUUUAUGUCCCUACCCAGUGACGUACACAGUGACUUUCUCCUUCUUUCGAAUAGCACUGCAAAAGCUGUUUGCAACGUAAAGAGGCAAAAAAGCAACGAGUAGAGGGCAAACACCAUCAUGCCGGUUCCUGUGCUCCCAGCUGCAAGCUCGUUUGGUACAGUUGCCGGAGUUAUUUCUAUUGUGUUUGUUAUUUUAUUAGGAGAAUUAUGGUUAUCACCACAGACAUUGUAUGCCUAACAACUUCUGGGCUCCUUACAAUAUUUUCAUUCAAAUGCUAAAAAGGCUGUAAUGAGACUAAGAUAAUGGCCUGCAAAAAGAAUAAGAUAUGGAUCAGAAUUGGGGGAAUUUGGUUUUAAAAAAAAAAACAACAAACAAAAAAGGAGAAGGAAAACAAACAAAAAUUACCCAUCCCAAUUAGCAUUCGAAGACAGUAAAGGGGGGGGCGGGAAAUAGGUAUACUGGGGAGGGUUGUUUCAGCUGGUACCUAAACCCCAGCGCAACCUGCCCUGCUGCAUCUCGGGUGAUGAGCAGCUCUGCCUUGGAGAGCGGCUGGCAGGGGAGGGAAGCCCCCAGCCCCUGAGCCCCCACUGCUGAGCACCGAGCCCCUGCUGCCGAGCGCCUCGCCAGCUGGGACCCACACCCCUGGGGGGCCAGGUGCCCACCAGUGCCGUGCCCUUGGCAGGCAGCCUGCUGCUCGCUGCCUGCAUCCAGCAGCGAUGCCGCCGCCUUCCCACCCUCCCGGCUUCGUCAGUGCUAACGAGCGUGCGGGGAGGCGAGGGACACCCGCAGCCGUGGAGGGGACAGGGCAUGGGUGGCUACCCGGCGUGGGCAUCGACCAGCGAAAUGUGGGCUCCCCGACAGCGCUGAACCCCACCAGAAUCAAUAUUGUCCUUUUUAAAACAACGCUGGGGGGAAACGCUGAUCUGAUAUAGAUUCAGUGUUGAGUUUUACAUUAUUCAUUGAACCUCGUUCUAUGUCAUGCUGCAGCGAAUAUAUUACCAUAUAUGAUGACAAAGAAAUUACAAAACUCCUGCAAAUACACGAUAAAGCAGCAGCCUGGGCUGCUACGGCAGCCCGCUCGAUCGCCCAUCUCUCAUUAGCAACAUGUAAUUAAGUCGCUAUACAUAGGGGUUGUGCCUGUGCCGCCAGCCACUUUAUGGUGAAAGAGGAGAAUAAUGAAUCAAAACAGUAAUAAACCAAACAGCAACAAAACCCAGCGCUGCGUGGCAGGUCUCAGACUUCGGGAAAUGUUCCCUUGUCGAGGUUUGCGAUGCCACGUCCCACCCGCCGCACAGCCAGCCACGUCACUGCAGGGCCACCGUGGGCCACCACGUCCCCAGAGCCACCCAGCUCAGCCCAGCUACACAGGGACCGCGGGGGCACUGCCAGGGAACGGGCUGCACGCAGAGAAAUAACAGGGAAAAAAAAGAAGCCUACCAGGAAAAGUUAAUAAUUUAUCUGUACAUAAAAACGCGCCCCCAUUUCUAAAGCUCACUUUGCAUCCUCAACGACAUGCACGAGUUCGCUGGGGCUGGAGGGAGCAGCUCAGUGCCAAAUCCGGACACUAUCUGUGCUAACCAGAUGUUAGUGCCUUUAUUAUUUUAUUAUUUUUAUUUUUUGAAGCUGCCCUUCAGCUUCCAGAGUUUCAAAUAAGCAAUUCCAGUGAUCCCUCUUCAUUAACCACUCCAGCAAGAUAUAAAUGUGUAUUAGGGAAUUCAGUGCAGAAAACAUCUUUUCAUGACACCUGCUGCCCACACAACCUGCUGCAUUUAUCAAAACGAACAGAGCUUACCCAGACUCCGUUUCUUUAUGGCCCAAACCUGCUGCUCACCGGGCAUGAGGCUGGGUUUGCACAGAGGGGGGAUGGGCUGGGACACCCCCCCCCCACGUCCCCUCCAGCAGCCCCACAUGGUAAGAACAUGGCACCCACCGACAGUCCCGGGGCCAGGCACGGUGUCAUGACACAGGCUUGGGACUGAACCGUGAAAGGGUUUGGGUGGGAAGGGACCGCACAGAGCACCCAGCUGCAGCCCCUGCCGUGGGCAGGGACCCCUCCCCCCAGCCCCGGCUGCUCCCAGCCCCGUCCAGCCUGGCCUUGGGCACUGCCAGGGCUGGGGCACCCGCAGCUGCUCUGGGCAGCCUGUGCCGGCGCCUCGCCGCCCUCACCGGGAGCAGUUUCUUCCCGAGAUCCAACCUCAGUCUCCCCUCUUUCAGCUUAAAGCCGUUCCGGCCUUGCCCUGUCACCA